AUGUCUGGGAAACUGCCUGAUGGAGGGGGAUAACUACUGGAAACGGUAGCUAAUACCGCAUAACGUCGCAAGACCAAAGUGGGGGACCUUCGGGCCUCAUGCCAUCAGAUGUGCCCAGAUGGGAUUAGCUAGUAGGUGGGGUAAUGGCUCACCUAGGCGACGAUCCCUAGCUGGUCUGAGAGGAUGACCAGCCACACUGGAACUGAGACACGGUCCAGACUCCUACGGGAGGCAGCAGUGGGGAAUAUUGCACAAUGGGCGCAAGCCUGAUGCAGCCAUGCCGCGUGUGUGAAGAAGGCCUUCGGGUUGUAAAGCACUUUCAGCGGGGAGGAAGGCG
RNAcentral lists this ribosomal RNA (337 nucleotides) under Klebsiella pneumoniae. RNAcentral's name for it is "bacterial SSU rRNA". It matches the Rfam family "Bacterial small subunit ribosomal RNA", at positions 113 to 453 of the family's 1533-position model. Lineage: Bacteria; Pseudomonadati; Pseudomonadota; Gammaproteobacteria; Enterobacterales; Enterobacteriaceae. The record is from RNAcentral.